Molecule: non-coding RNA, 115 nt
Filed under: uncultured Nitzschia
Lineage: Eukaryota; Bacillariophyta; Bacillariophyceae; Bacillariales; Bacillariaceae
Source: RNAcentral
GUUGAGACGCAAGGAUGCUGCCAAAUAUACAUGUACAAAACGGUAUAGAUAUAAAUCGAAGCAAAAAAUAGUGUAGUCAAAAAUGCGCAGGAUUUGUUGUUGUUGUUGUUGUUUU